GAUGAACGCUGGCGGCGUGCCUAAUACAUGCAAGUCGAGCGAACAGACGAGGAGCUUGCUCCUCUGACGCUAGCGGCGGUUGGGUGAUUAACACGUACAUAACUCAUCUUGAAGGCUAGGAUAACUUCGCGAAACCUGAUCCAACACCAGAUAAGAUAUUGAACCGCGUGGUUCAAUAGUGAAAAAACGCUUUGCUGUCACUUAUUGAAAGAUCCGCGCCGCAUUAGUUAAUUGGUAAGGUAACGGCUUACCAAGGCGACGAUGCGUAUCAGGCCUGAGAGGAUGAUCGUCCACACUGGAACUGAGACACGGUCCAGACUCCUACGGGAGGCAGCAGUAGGGAAUCGUGCGCAAUGGGCGAAAGCCUGACGCAGCAACGCCGCGUGAGUGAUGAAGGUCUUCGGAUCGUAAAACACUGUUAGUUGGGAAGAAGAAAGGUUUAAGAAAAUAUGCACGUCUUGACGGUACCUACUCAAAAAGCCCCGGCUAACUACGUG
This 497-nucleotide ribosomal RNA is filed under the name uncultured bacterium. RNAcentral's name for it is "partial 16S ribosomal RNA". It matches the Rfam family "Bacterial small subunit ribosomal RNA", at positions 28 to 507 of the family's 1533-position model. The record is from RNAcentral.